RNAcentral lists this ribosomal RNA (826 nucleotides) under Antealophiotrema brunneosporum. RNAcentral's name for it is "eukaryotic LSU rRNA". It matches the Rfam family "Eukaryotic large subunit ribosomal RNA", at positions 87 to 930 of the family's 3401-position model. The record is from RNAcentral. Lineage: Eukaryota; Fungi; Ascomycota; Dothideomycetes; Pleosporales.
CGGCGAGUGAAGCGGCAAGAGCUCAAAUUUGAAAUCUGGCCCUCUCAGGGUCCGAGUUGUAAUUUGUAGAGGGCGCUUUGGCGUCGGCUACGGCCUAAGUUCCUUGGAACAGGACGUCACAGAGGGUGAGAACCCCGUACGUGGCCGCUGGCCUUCGCCGUGUAAAGCCCCUUCGACGAGUCGAGUUGUUUGGGAAUGCAGCUCUAAAUGGGAGGUAAAUUUCUUCUAAAGCUAAAUACUGGCCAGAGACCGAUAGCGCACAAGUAGAGUGAUCGAAAGAUGAAAAGCACUUUGGAAAGAGAGUCAAAAAGCACGUGAAAUUGUUGAAAGGGAAGCGCUUGCAGCCAGACUUGCCUGUAGUUGCUCACCCGAGCCACCGGCUCGGUGCACUCUUCUGCGGGCAGGCCAGCAUCAGUCCGGGCGGUCGGAUAAAGGCCUCGGGAAUGUAGCUCCCCUCGGGGAGUGUUAUAGCCCGGGGUGCCAUGCGACCAGCCUGGACUGAGGUCCGCGCAUCUGCUAGGAUGCUGGCGUAAUGGCUGUAAGCGGCCCGUCUUGAAACACGGACCAAGGAGUCUAACAUCUAUGCGAGUGUUUGGGUGUCAAGCCCGGGCGCGCAAUGAAAGUGAACGGAGGUGGGAACCCCUCGGGGCGCACCAUCGACCGAUCCUGAUGUCUUCGGAUGGAUUUGAGUAAGAGCAUAGCUGUUGGGACCCGAAAGAUGGUGAACUAUGCCUGAAUAGGGUGAAGCCAGAGGAAACUCUGGUGGAGGCUCGCAGCGGUUCUGACGUGCAAAUCGAUCGUCAAAUUUGGGCAUAGGGGCGAAAGA